GCAAGCAAGUAAGGGCAUAUGGUGGAUGCCUAGGCGUUGGGGGCUGAAGAAGGGCGUGGCAAGCUGCGAAAAGCCUCGGGUAGCCGCAAGCAGGUGAAGAUCCGGGGAUGCCCGAAUGGGGAAACCUGGCUGGGGUAAAGCCCAGUCAAUCCAUGCUGAACCCAUAGGCAUGGAUGAGCAACCGGGGGAACUGAAACAUCUUAGUACCCCGAGGAAAAGAAAACAACCGUGAUUCCCCGAGUAGCGGCGAGCGAAAAGGGAAGAGCCCAAACCUUAAUCGUGAAAAAGACUGUACUCGUUGCGAUUAAGGGGUCGAGGGGCAUACGAGGGGCCUGGUACAGCGGGUCCGGUGAGUAAAAAGGCUUGUGCUUAGAAGAAAAGGUCUGGAAAGUCCUACCGAAGAGAGUAAAAGUCUCGUAUUCGAAAAGGCAAGCGCUCACCUGGUAUGACCCCAAGUACUGCGGGGCACGUGAAAUCCUGCAGGAAUUAGGGAGGACCACCUCCUAAGGCUAAAUACCACCCGACGACCGAUAGUGAACUAGUACCGUGAGGGAAAGGUGAAAAGCACCCCGGGAGGGGAGUGAAAUAGAACCUGAAACCAUAUGCCUACAAGCAGUCAGAGUCUGGCGUUAAGCUGGAUGAUGGCGUACUUUUUGUAGAACGGACCGGCGAGUUGCGUUAUGCAGCGAGGUUAAGGCUUGGAAAGCUGGAGCCGAAGCGAAAGCGAGUCUGAAAAGGGCGAGUGAGUUGCAUGAUGCAGACCCGAAACCGGGUGAGCUACCCAUGGGCAGGGUGAAGCGAGACUAACCUCUCGUGGAGGCCCGAACCGACCGUCGUUGAAACGGCGGCGGAUGACCUGUGGGUAGGGGUGAAAAGCCAACCGAACCCGGAGAUAGCUGGUUCUCCCCGAAAUAGCUUUAGGGCUAGCCUCAGGUGGUACUUUAUGGGGGUAGAGCACUGAUCAGGCUAGGGGCGUCGACCACGUUACCGAACCUUUUCAAACUCCGAAUACCAUAAAGCAAAGCCUGGGAGUCAGACUGUGGGUGAAAAGAUUCACAGUCGAAAGGGAAACAGCCCAGACCGUCAGCUAAGGUCCCGAAGUACAGGCUAAGUGGAAAAGGAUGUGGAGCUACUCAGACAACCAGGAUGUUGGCUUAGAAGCAGCCACCAUUCAAAGAGUGCGUAAUAGCUCACUGGUCAAGUGGCUCUGCGCCGAAAAUGUAACGGGGCUAAGUCUGUCACCGAAGCUACGGAUUUUGGAGGUCGGAAACCAGAGGUCAGAAGUCGGAAAAGGAAGUGAAGGCAUGAUACGCCAAUACCAUGACCUCAAAGUAUACCAAGAGUCAUAUAGACUAGUACUCGAAGUAUACGGGAUAACGAGAGCAAUGCCGGAAUAUGAGAGGCGUGAACUCGGAUACCAGAUGAGGCGUGCAGCAGUAUCAAUACCUGCGAACAUAGCAGAAGGCUAUGGCAGAAAAGAAUCAGCUGCAGAAUUCAAACACUUCCUGAGAAAUGCACUUGGAUCGAAUAAUGAAGUCAGAGUACUAAUUGACCUAGCACACGAUCUUGGAUACAUAACAACAAAAAAACACCAAGAACUAAGCAAACGUUAUGAAAUACUAGGAAAACAGCUGUUUACACUGAUAAAGAAAUGGACUAAGCGCUCUGACAUCUGACAUCUGGCCUCCGACUUCCAAGAUGGUAGGGGAGCGUUCCAGGGGCGUCGAAGGUAUACCGUAAGGUAUGCUGGAGCGACUGGAAGUGAGAAUGCCGGUAUAAGUAAGCGAGAAGGCAGGUGAGAAUCCUGCCCGCCGGAAGCCCGAGGUUUCCUGGGGAAGGCUCGUCCGCCCAGGGUAAGUCGGGACCUAAGCCGAGGCUUAAGAGCGUAGGCGAUGGACAAUCGGUGGAAAUUCCGAUACCGCCGGUAAGCCGUUUGAGCGAAGGGGUGACACAGGAGGGUAGGCACAGCGGGCUGUUGGAAUAGCCCGUCCAAGCUGGUAGGGAGGACUGAUAGGCAAAUCCGUCAGUCUAUAAAUCCUGAGAAGCGAGAGCGAGGGAAAAAUAGUACCGAAGUGGCUGAUCCCACACUGGCGAGAAAAACCUCUAGUGAGGCUUACAGGUGCCCGUACCGAAAACCGACACAGGUAGGCGAGGAGAGAAUCCUAAGGCGCGCGAGAGAACCCUCGUUAAGGAACUCGGCAAACUGACCCCGUAACUUUGGGAGAAGGGGUGCCCCGGUAGGGUGAAGGUUUUAAACAAUUGGAGCCCGAGGGGGUUGCAGAGAAGAGGCCCAAACGACUGUUUACCAAAAACACAGGUCCCUGCGAAAGCGAAAGCUGAUGUAUAGGGGCUGACGCCUGCCCGGUGCUGGAAGGUUAAGGGGAAGAGUGAGAGCUCUGAACCGAAGCCCCAGUAAACGGCGGCCGUAACUAUAACGGUCCUAAGGUAGCGAAAUUCCUUGUC
This 2463-nucleotide ribosomal RNA is filed under the name anaerobic digester metagenome. RNAcentral's name for it is "bacterial LSU rRNA". It matches the Rfam family "Bacterial large subunit ribosomal RNA", at positions 1 to 1973 of the family's 2925-position model. The record is from RNAcentral.